GAUGAACGCUGGCGGCGUGCCUAAUACAUGCAAGUCGAGCGAACAGACGAGGAGCUUGCUCCUUCGACGUUAGCGGCGGACGGGUGAGUAACACGUAGGUAACCUACCUAUAAGACUGGGAUAACUUCGGGAAACCGGAGCUAAUACCGGAUAAUAUUUCGAACCGCAUGGUUCGAUAGUGAAAGAUGGCUUUGCUAUCACUUAUAGAUGGACCUGCGCCGUAUUAGCUAGUUGGUAAGGUAACGGCUUACCAAGGCGACGAUACGUAGCCGACCUGAGAGGGUGAUCGGCCACACUGGAACUGAGACACGGUCCAGACUCCUACGGGAGGCAGCAGUAGGGAAUCUUCCGCAAUGGGCGAAAGCCUGACGGAGCAACGCCGCGUGAGUGAUGAAGGUCUUCGGGUCGUAAAACUCUGUUAUUAGGGAAGAACAAACGUGUAAGUAACUGUGCACGUCUUGACGGUACCUAAUCAGAAAGCCACGGCUAACUACGUG
This 497-nucleotide ribosomal RNA is filed under the name uncultured bacterium. RNAcentral describes it as "partial 16S ribosomal RNA". It matches the Rfam family "Bacterial small subunit ribosomal RNA", at positions 28 to 507 of the family's 1533-position model. The record is from RNAcentral.